Molecule: long non-coding RNA, 1595 nt
Organism: Melozone crissalis (California towhee)
Lineage: Eukaryota; Metazoa; Chordata; Aves; Passeriformes; Passerellidae
Exons: 2
Source: RefSeq, a predicted model, not a curated record
CUUUGACGUGCGGUACCAGCUUCAGAGCGCAGAAACUUUCCCGUUUCCUGCGGCGCUGACGCUGAUUUUUGGCUUAUUCGUUUGGUGAUGUGUUCUCUGUAAAACUUUCCAAAGAAGUGGCCUGUCAAACUAUGAGUUCUCUGGACACCAAUGAAACCCAAGACAUCACAUUCUGCUGUAUGACUUUUGACAUAUAUUUGAGGCAAAGCAUUCAGCCCCACUCUUCUUGCUCAUAUAAAAUCCCAUCCAGCUCAGUAAUUUCCCAUGGAAAGUUCUGGCAUUCUCUGCACUAUGGUUGUCUGCUUGCAGGGGUGUAGAUGUCAGUAAAUGCCAAUGGAUGUGGCCAUGGAUGCUCCUCCAUUUGAGGCUGACUACUGGAAUUCUCAUUUCUUCUUGGUGUCUAUUUAAAUGCAGCCACCUUCUAAAAGACAUUCAGUGCAAACAGCACUAGAUUGCAGCACACUGGUUCUAGUUCAGUGCUUCUGUUUUUAAAAUGUGUAGUUUACAAAAAAGAUAUAUAAAAAAGACAGUUUGGCUUCUUUCUUAUUAUUGUUGACUCAAUGAGUCUAGGCUAGAGUUAUAACUCUGUAAACUCCAGCUGAAUCUUCAAGCUUAGCCAGAUUCUUUCAUAAAUCAGAUUGAGUUGCUGAGAUUCUGAAGGACAAAAUAACUCUCAGUUAUGAGUGCACAGCUUCAGUUUGGUGAAAUGAUAUCUGGUUAUCCCCAAGAAACCUGAGCACCAACAUGAAAAUGAGAAAAAGAUUUGGAAAAAAAGGGGGGAAAAUUCAGGAGUGUAUUACAAGAGUGACUCUGCACAGAAAACUGCUUAAUAAUUCUGCUGAUAAAGUGUGAGCCAGAGAAGAAUUCAUUUUCCUCUCCCAGAGCUCAGCUGGGGUGACAGGAGUUUAAAGAAGAGCAGCUCUUUCAUAAAGGUGAGCAGGUAUGUCCUUCACACAGACAACAGGAGUUUGAAAACACUGAAGUCACUGCAAGCUCUGCUGUUGGCUUUUGGGAAGGCAGAAUUUUACCCUUUGAAAAGAUCUGCUGAGUAAAACCAGCCACUUGUACAUGUUUUCUCUUCAAAGUCCAUUCACCUUUCAAGAGCAUUUUGCUGCUUUCAGUUGCUUGCUUCUACAUGUCCAAUUUAAACAUGUUCUUCUCCACUUUUUUAUUUUCCAUAUGUUCUUUUUGCUUAAAGGGGAAAUUGGGCCUCAGGAAACAACAGCAAACUGAAUCCUGCUGGUGUUUGUAAAAGCACAAGUUAUCAACACUGGAAAAUGAUUAUACUGUUAAUAUCAAACCCCAAGAAAUUAAAUAUGCAUCAUUUGUGUCUGAAUGAACAAUUACUAUUGAAAAUAAUGCCUGAAAAAGAAAAACAAAGCUUUUCAGACAUAACAUGAAUUUUAACUUGGUUUUUUUUUUUUAGAAAACCAAUCAGGGUUUUAGUUUAUGCAUCAUUCUGUUCCCCACAAUAAUACUCUGUCUGUGCAAUCAGUGAUGAUAAAUGGUACAUAAUUGUAAACUUGAUAUUGGUUUUCAAUAUUGAAUUCAUCAUCCUGUCCUCUUAACACAUAUUAAAUACUUUAAAGAAUUUA